Molecule: long non-coding RNA, 738 nt
Filed under: Nicotiana tabacum (common tobacco)
Lineage: Eukaryota; Viridiplantae; Streptophyta; Magnoliopsida; Solanales; Solanaceae
Description: long non-coding RNA (NTAB_LNC008101)
Source: RNAcentral
ACAUUUUGGCAAUAAGGAAUUCACUCGAAAGGUAAGUUUCCACGAAACUCCCUUUAUUCUUUUACUAAAGUAAGAAAAUUCAAUAAAAAAAGAAGUCAGCAGUUGUUCUCGAAUUUUGUCCCCGGCCAUCAGCAUUAGGGUUUUAAACCCUAAACUGAAUUUUUCUUUUAGUCAGCAUUAGGGUUUUAAACCCUAAACUGAACUUUUUUCAUUUCAGCCAGCAUUAGGGUUUUAAACCCUAAACUGAGCUUUUCCAUUCAGCCAGCAUUAGGGUUUUAAACCCUAAACUGAGCUUUUUCAUGCAAUCAGUAUUAGGGUUUUAAACCCUAAAGUGAAUUUUCCUCUUAGUCAGCAUUAGGGUUUUAAACCCUAAACUGAAUUUUCCUUUUAGUCAGCAUUAGGGUUUUAAACCCUAAACUGAACUUUUUCAAUUCAGCCAGCAUUAGGGUUUUAAACCCUAAACUGAGCUUUUCCAUGCAAUCAGCAUUAGGGUUUUAAACCCUAAACUGAAUUUUUCCUUUAGUCAGCAUUAGGGUUUUAAAACCCUAAACUGAACUUUUUUCCUUUCAGCAAGCAUUAGGGUUUUAAACCCUAAACUGAACUUUUUUCCAUUCAGCCAGCAUUAGGGUUUUAAACCCUAAACUGAGCUUUUCCAUGCAAUCAGCAUUAGGGUUUUAAACCCUAAACUGAAUUUUUCUUUUAGUCAGCAUUAGGGUUUUAAACCCUAAACUGAAUUUU